Molecule: non-coding RNA, 461 nt
Organism: Camellia sinensis
Lineage: Eukaryota; Viridiplantae; Streptophyta; Magnoliopsida; Ericales; Theaceae
Source: RefSeq, a predicted model, not a curated record
UUGUUCUUGAACGACUGAAGCACUCUGGGGCUUUUCAAGAAACAUUUGAAGUGGCUAAAACAAUAUCGAUGUGGCCAUCAUUGAAAAGUGGAUCAAAAGUUGGGAAAUCUAGCUCUAAUGGUCAUGGUGACCGACGGGCUGGAAAUAGGGCUGUUUCUUCGAGAGUAACUUCAACAAAGGGUUCAAGGCCAGAAUCAAUCAUGUCUGUUCACGAACCAGACGAGCACCCUCCCCAACAUAUUUCUUAACAAGUUCACGAAGCUAAAUUGUACAUGACUACUUGGCAGUAUAAGCAUUUUUGGGAGGAUUAAAUGUUCUUGGAUGGAUGUGUAUGGAUAACAAAUAUUAGUAGUUUUAUUUGUUGAUAGCUGCGCAUGGAUAACAAAUAGCUAUGUUUCAAAUUGUUAUGCUAGAUGGAUGUCACUUGUGAAUGAAAACUUAGAAUAGUUGUAUUGUGUCGA